RNAcentral lists this long non-coding RNA (924 nucleotides) under Equus caballus (horse). RNAcentral's name for it is "lncRNA (ENSECAG00000051494.1)". The record is from RNAcentral. Lineage: Eukaryota; Metazoa; Chordata; Mammalia; Perissodactyla; Equidae.
CUGGAGCAGAGCGGGCAAGGGGGGGCAGCGGGCACUGUCAGGCUGGGGAGAUGGACGGGGCCAGACCGUGUGGUGCAGGGCCUUGUGGGCCCAGGGAGAUGCCCACCUGAGAAAGCAAGCUGAAUAUACAGAAGAGACAAUCCAGCAGGAAUGUUCCUGAACUAGUGGCAGGAGAGGAGACUCAAAAAAGAAAACAAAACUGGGUAGGAAUCAGGCGCUCCUCGUAUGCCAUCUCUAGCUGGCAGACGGACCCCCUGUGAGGACCCGUGUUGCUGUUGAGAAGAUCGUGGAUCCGUUCCAGCAAGUCACCAGAACUGGAAUUCAGCAGAAUUGAUUCCUGAUACUACCACUUCCUUCCUUCUCAAAAUUUUUUUAACUCGGGGGAAGUCCAGUCCAAAAUAGUAGUUCCCAUUUAUUGAGGACUUGUCCUGUACCGGUCUGUGCCAAUUAAGCAUAUUGUACACAGUUAGUCCUCAACUCUGCAAGUUGUGACAGCCGAAAAUGUCACCAGACAUUGCCAGAUGACCCUGGGGAGAGCCAAAUCGCUCCACUUGGGAACCGUGGCUCCAGAGCUGGGGAACAGAAGCCACCGCUUGCCUGAGGUCACAAAGCUGGCACACUGAGCCAGCCAGGAUCUGAAUACCAGGUCCUUUUUACCCCCAGAACCCCCAAUACAUAGUUGUAUAUUCUUAGUUGUGGGUCCUUCCACUUGUGGCAUGUGGGACGCCGCCUCAGCAUGGCCUGAUGAGUAGUGCCAUGUCCGCACCCAGGAUUCGAACGGACGAAACCCUGGGCCGCCUGCAGUGGAGCGCGCAAACUUAACCACUCGGCCACGGGGCUGGCCCCCAGAGACGUGUACUUUUAAAAGAAUGUAAAUUGUCUUGUAAUUACUUUUGGCUUUUUAUCUUAAUAUUUCUUGGAGAC